AUUGAACGCUGGCGGCAGGCCUAACACAUGCAAGUCGAGCGGUGACAGGGGAAGCUUGCUUCCCGCUGACGAGCGGCGGACGGGUGAGUAAUGUAUGGGGAUCUGCCCGAUAGAGGGGGAUAACUACUGGAAACGGUAGCUAAUACCGCAUAAUCUCUAAGGAGCAAAGCAGGGGAACUUCGGUCCUUGCGCUAUCGGAUGAACCCAUAUGGGAUUAG
This 218-nucleotide ribosomal RNA is filed under the name uncultured bacterium. RNAcentral's name for it is "partial 16S ribosomal RNA". It matches the Rfam family "Bacterial small subunit ribosomal RNA", at positions 30 to 244 of the family's 1533-position model. The record is from RNAcentral.